GCGGGUAUAGUACAAUGGUAGUACAGCAGCCUUCCAAGCUGACUAUGUCGGUUCGAUUCCGUCUACCCGCUCCA
This 74-nucleotide transfer RNA is filed under the name Caulobacterales bacterium. Its description in RNAcentral is "tRNA-Gly". It matches the Rfam family "tRNA". From Rfam's summary of the family: Transfer RNA (tRNA) molecules are approximately 80 nucleotides in length. Their secondary structure includes four short double-helical elements and three loops (D, anti-codon, and T loops). Further hydrogen bonds mediate the characteristic L-shaped molecular structure. tRNAs have two regions of fundamental functional importance: the anti-codon, which is responsible for specific mRNA codon recognition, and the 3' end, to which the tRNAs corresponding amino acid is attached (by aminoacyl-tRNA synthetases). tRNAs cope with the degeneracy of the genetic code in two manners: having more than one tRNA (with a specific anti-codon) for a particular amino acid; and 'wobble' base-pairing, i.e. permitting non-standard base-pairing at the 3rd anti-codon position. The record is from RNAcentral. Lineage: Bacteria; Pseudomonadati; Pseudomonadota; Alphaproteobacteria; Caulobacterales.